GUUUGGCACCUCGAUGUCGGCUCAUCACAUCCUGGGGCUGUAGCCGGUCCCAAGGGUAUGGCUGUUCGCCAUUUAAAGUGGUACGCGAGCUGGGUUUAGAACGUCGUGAGACAGUUCGGUCUCUAUCUAUCGCGGGCGCUCGAGAUUUGCGCGGCUCCGGCACUAGUACGAGAGGACCGUGCCGGACCGACCUCCGGUCUGCCGGUUGUGCCGCCAGGUGCAUUGCCGGGUAUCCAAGUCGGGAUCG
Molecule: ribosomal RNA, 247 nt
Filed under: Cyclophora tenuis
Lineage: Eukaryota; Bacillariophyta; Fragilariophyceae; Cyclophorales; Cyclophoraceae
Description: partial Bacterial large subunit ribosomal RNA
Rfam family: Bacterial large subunit ribosomal RNA
Source: RNAcentral